UGGGGAAUCUUCCGCAAUGGACGAAAGUCUGACGGAGCAACGCCGCGUGAGUGAUGACGGCCUUCGGGUUGUAAAGCUCUGUUAAUCGGGACGAAUGGUUCUUGUGCAAAUAGUGCGAGGAUUUGACGGUACCGGAAUAGAAAGCCACGGCUAACUACGUGCCAGCAGCCGCGGUAAUACGUAGGUGGCAAGCGUUGUCCGGAAUUAUUGGGCGUAAAGCGCGCGCAGGCGGAUUGGUCAGUCUGUCUUAAAAGUUCGGGGCUUAACCCCGUGAUGGGAUGGAAACUGCCAAUCUAGAGUAUCGGAGAGGAAAGUGGAAUUCCUAGUGUAGCGGUGAAAUGCGUAGAUAUUAGGAAGAACACCAGUGGCGAAGGCGACUUUCUGGACGAAAACUGACGCUGAGGCGCGAAAGCCAGGGGAGCGAACGGGAUUAGAUACCCCGGUAGUCCACGCCGUAAACGAUGAGUGCUAAGUGUUGGAGGGUUUCCGCCCUUCAGUGCUGCAGUUAACGCAUUAAGCACUCCGCCUGGGGAGUACGACCGCAAGGUUG
Molecule: ribosomal RNA, 550 nt
Filed under: uncultured bacterium
Lineage: Bacteria
Description: bacterial SSU rRNA
Rfam family: Bacterial small subunit ribosomal RNA
Source: RNAcentral